This 338-nucleotide long non-coding RNA is filed under the name Anas platyrhynchos platyrhynchos (common mallard). RNAcentral describes it as "lncRNA (ENSAPLG00000019970.1)". Lineage: Eukaryota; Metazoa; Chordata; Aves; Anseriformes; Anatidae. The record is from RNAcentral.
AUGAAAUACAUUCUUGGGGUUUUGAGACGUGAAGCCAGUAGGGCUGCUGCACUGGGAGCCCUCCUGGCCACAGGUGAGGAGCCUUGCCAUCUGCAAUACACAGUAGGCCAAUCAAGCUGGCCCUGUGUGAGGCAAGAUGGAAGGCCAGUUUCUUACAACCCAAUUCCAGAAGAUGCUGGAUGCUGAAGAGGAAGAAAGAUAAAGGAGGGUGAAAAUGAUUCUCUGAAUUUGGCUGGCAGAUUUUAGCUGAUAGAAAAACUCCAGGAUGCGAAGUUUUCAGAAGACGACACGAGAUACCUGGAAAGAAAGAAAGAAAUAAAACAAACAAAAAAUAAACA